GAUUGAGCGCUGGCGGCAGGCCUAACACAUGCAAGUCGAACGGUAACAGGAAGAAGCUUGCUUCUUUGCUGACGAGUGGCGGACGGGUGAGUAAUGUCUGGGAAACUGCCUGAUGGAGGGGGAUAACUACUGGAAACGGUAGCUAAUACCGCAUAACGUCGCAAGACCAAAGAGGGGGACCUUCGGGCCUCUUGCCAUCGGAUGUGCCCAGAUGGGAUUAGCUAGUAGGUGGGGUAACGGCUCACCUAGGCGACGAUCCCUAGCUGGUCUGAGAGGAUGACCAGCCACACUGGAACUGAGACACGGUCCAGACUCCUACGGGAGGCAGCAGUGGGGAAUAUUGCACAAUGGGCGCAAGCCUGAUGCAGCCAUGCCGCGUGUAUGAAGAAGGCCUUCGGGUUGUAAAGUACUUUCAGCGGGGAGGAAGGGAGUAAAGUUAAUACCUUUGCUCAUUGACGUUACCCGCAGAAGAAGCACCGGCUAACUCCGUG
This 491-nucleotide ribosomal RNA is filed under the name uncultured bacterium. RNAcentral describes it as "partial 16S ribosomal RNA". It matches the Rfam family "Bacterial small subunit ribosomal RNA", at positions 27 to 507 of the family's 1533-position model. The record is from RNAcentral.